RNAcentral lists this ribosomal RNA (491 nucleotides) under uncultured bacterium. RNAcentral describes it as "partial 16S ribosomal RNA". It matches the Rfam family "Bacterial small subunit ribosomal RNA", at positions 29 to 506 of the family's 1533-position model. The record is from RNAcentral.
AGUGAACGCUGGCGGUAGGCCUAACACAUGCAAGUCGAACGGCAGCACAGUAAGAGCUUGCUCUUACGGGUGGCGAGUGGCGGACGGGUGAGGAAUACAUCGGAAUCUACUUUUUCGUGGGGGAUAACGUAGGGAAACUUACGCUAAUACCGCAUACGACCUACGGGUGAAAGCAGGGGAUCUUCGGGCCUUGCGCGAUUGAAUGAGCCGAUGUCGGAUUAGCUAGUUGGCGGGGUAAAGGCCCACCAAGGCGACGAUCCGUAGCUGGUCUGAGAGGAUGAUCAGCCACACUGGAACUGAGACACGGUCCAGACUCCUACGGGAGGCAGCAGUGGGGAAUAUUGGACAAUGGGCGCAAGCCUGAUCCAGCCAUACCGCGUGGGUGAAGAAGGCCUUCGGGUUGUAAAGCCCUUUUGUUGGGAAAGAAAAGCAGCAGGUUAAGACCCCGCUGUUCUGACGGUACCCAAAGAAUAAGCACCGGCGAACUUCGG